Long non-coding RNA from Gallus gallus (chicken), 955 nucleotides. The record is from Ensembl. NCBI's taxonomy places the organism in Eukaryota, Metazoa, Chordata, Aves, Galliformes, Phasianidae.
UGGGCAUGUAGUGUGUGCUGGGCUGAUAAACAGCAUCUGGUUGGAGUCAGGCUUUCCUGUCAACGUGCCACUCAGCCCUACUGCUCUGGGUUUGACUGACACUCGGCGGUCCUCCCCGCUCGUGCUUGGGGCUUCCUCCCGGAAAACGACUGGGAACAUCAGGGUUGCAACUGGAAGGUUGUGUUUCCGACUGAUUUGCAAGGCUUGGGGAGGCGCUGAGAUUUGCAUCGUUCUGCAACAGCCGGGAUCAAAGGUGCAGCUCAGAAACGUGAGGCGUUUUGGAGCAACCUGCAAAGCAGCUGAGGAAGGCGUGGAGCUGGGAGAGCGCAGACAGACAGCGAUAGAAGACUGAAUUGCUCCGUGCGUUGAGCAAUUAAGCCAAGCCGAACGGGGCAGCGUGAACAAAGCGAUGGGGAAAUCACUGAGGCACAAAGCUGAGCUCACUGACCGCGAUGUGGUGAGGGGGCUCAAUAAGGGUCAAUUAAGCUCCCACCGCACCGCCUGGCAGACGGAAUUAAGUGCCAAUUUUCUGCACUGCUGCAGAGGCAGAGCAUUAAAAUGAUAAAUAACAGGAAGUUUCAGCCAAAAAGAAGGAGCAAGUUGGGAGAUGGGAGUUUGAGGCUGAGCCGGCAGUGAGACAGCCCUGAGCACCACUGCCCUCUGCCGCAGCCGCAGCGCUCUCCUCUACAGCAAACCCACGAGGGUGGGUGGAUGGAAGCACGCAGACCCGCGGCUCCUGGCCGGGUAGUGGGCUGCUCUGCUUAGUGCACCCCGAUGGCUGCGGGGUGUGCCGAGGUUUUGCCUCCAGCUCGUUGGGAAGCACAUUUUUCGGCCAUAGGUGGGAUGCUGCAGCACUGAGAGCGUGGUGAAGGAGCAGAGCCCUUCCUUCUAACCGAGGUAUCCACGCUCUGCUCGGGGCCAGCAGGUGCAGGCAAAGCUCCCAUUAGGGCAGACG